AAUACCAAAAUCAUACAAUGACAAACGAACGAUAAUAGUUGGAAGAGACCACCUCAGAAUUGUCAUUGAAAAAAAGGGUUUGUUUCAUUAACGUGGUUGACUUUUCACGAGUUGGGGCAGGCAACGCAAACCUUCCCGUUGUAGCAGUCGUUUAGGCCAAUGAAUCCUUUAGUUUUCUUUUUAAUUAUCAUUACUUUUUCAAAAACAAUUCCGAUUUGAUUGCUACUUUUUUUCUUCCUUCCUUUCUGUACUUUGCCUCAACUUUCGCACCCACCAAACGCUGUUCCUUCUUCUUCAAUCAGACACAACAAAGUUGGAUCCUUUCCUUCAUUUGAACUGAGAAAGAGCAUCCACAAUGCCCAACUGGGAACUCAAGAACUGUUGUGACAAAGAUCAGAAGAUCUUCAUUGCUUGUGUUGCUGCCUUCACCGUUGUUAUCUUCGUGCUAUGGAGGACCUUUCUACUUACACCUUUCAAGCUCAUCACUGUGUUUUUGCACGAAGCAAGUCAUGCAAUUGCUUGCAUUCUCACUUGUGGCAAGGUUGAGGGAAUCCAGGUUCAUGCAAAUGAGGGUGGAGUAACACAGACUAGAGGUGGCGCAUACUGGAUCAUCUUGCCUGCUGGAUAUCUUGGUUCAUCAUUUUGGGGGAUGGCUCUGAUACUUGCUUCCACAAAUCUUCUCACUGCGAGAAUUGCUGCUGGUUGCUUUAUUGCUGCUCUUGUUAUUGUGCUCUUUGUUGCUAAAAAUUGGACACUACGAGGACUCUGCAUUGGAUUCAUUAUCUUUAUUGCUGUAAUUUGGGUACUGCAAGAGAAAACUACUGUUCAUAUCCUUCGUUAUGUCAUUCUCUUUAUCGGUGUGAUGAACAGUUUGUUUUCAGUUUACGAUAUUUAUGACGAUUUAAUAUCUCGAAGAGUUCAUUCGAGUGAUGCUGAGAAGUUUGCAGAAGUUUGCCCAUGCCCCUGUAAUGGAUUUGGAUGGGGAGUUAUUUGGGGGAUGAUAUCAUUUGCAUUUCUAUGUGCAUCUUUGUACCUUGGACUUGUCAUAUUAUCAUGAGGUUGAGAAAUAUGUAACCAAGCUUGGUAUACUGAAUUUAUCUGUGGAUAUUUCCCCAUGCAUGUGGAUUCAUUCUUUGCAGCCUGAAUAUUUCAGUUGAAGUAUUUCAAGCUGUCUGUUGUCUUCAUUGGUACUUUAGAAGCUCUUGGUAUUAUUAUUCUACUUUUUUUUUAUCGUAUAAUUUGGCUCUUCAACUAAACAUAACUGAAAGAGAUAGAGGAUUUUCCAACACUACUUUAUAAUUGAAAGGAUAUAAUCAUUCCCAUAAAAGGUGUAGAAAAUUGGAAAUAUUUAGUAAGUAAAACAAAUAUAUAAUAUAACCACUAAUGAACCAUUUUUCUAAAAAAGCUUAGCCUUCGAUUGCAUGCCUUUUGCCGUAAUUUGCGAAGCAAGAUAAAGUUUCUAACCUUUCUCCAGAUCUGAUGUGCAAACUCGCAACGAACCAUUCUUGUUGCAAAAGGCAUUGUAGCAACCAAUUGCA
Molecule: RNA transcript, 1538 nt
Organism: Arachis ipaensis
Lineage: Eukaryota; Viridiplantae; Streptophyta; Magnoliopsida; Fabales; Fabaceae
Gene name: peptidase M50B-like protein
Source: RefSeq, a predicted model, not a curated record